RNAcentral lists this ribosomal RNA (358 nucleotides) under uncultured bacterium. Its description in RNAcentral is "partial 16S ribosomal RNA". It matches the Rfam family "Bacterial small subunit ribosomal RNA", at positions 338 to 694 of the family's 1533-position model. The record is from RNAcentral.
CCUACGGGAGGCAGCAGUGAGGAAUAUUGGUCAAUGGUCGGGAGACUGAACCAGCCAAGCCGCGUGAGGGAUGAAGGUCCAGAGUAUCGUAAACCUCUUUUGUCAGGGAACAAAGGCGGGGACGUGUCCCCGGCUGCGUGUACCUUAAGAACAAGCAUCGGCUAACUCCGUGCCAGCAGCCGCGGUAAUACGGAGGAUGCGAGCGUUAUCCGGAUUUAUUGGGUUUAAAGGGUGCGCGGGCGGUCUGUUAAGUCAGCGGUCAAAGCCCGGGGAUCAACCCCGGCCCGCCGUUGAAACUGGGAGUCUCGAGGUGGAGAGAAGGAUGCGGAAGGCGCGGUGUAGCGGUGAAAUGCAUAGA